GACGAACGCUGGCGGCGGGCUUAACACAUGCAAGUCGAACGGAAAGGCCCUGCUUUUGUGGGGUGCCCGAGUGGCGAACGGGUGAGUAACACGUGAGUAACCUGCCCUUGACUUUGGGAUAACUUCAGGAAGCUGGGGCUAAUACCGGAUAGGAGCUCCUGCUGCAUGGUGGGGGUUGGAAAGUUUCGGCGGUUGGGGAUGGAUUCGCGGCUUAUCAGCUUGUUGGUGGGGUAGUGGCUUACCAAGGCUUUGACGGGUAGCCGGCAUGAGAGGGUGAACGGCGACCUGAGGACUGAGGGACGGACCAGACUGCUACGGGGGGCAGCAGGGGGGAGUAUUGCACAGUGGGAGGAAGCCGGAUGCAGCGGCGCCGCGUGCGGGAUGACGGCCUUCGGGUUGUAAACCGCUGUCGCCUGUGACGAAGCGUGAGUGACGGUAAUGGGUGAAGAAGCACCGGCUAACUACGUG
This 468-nucleotide ribosomal RNA is filed under the name uncultured bacterium. RNAcentral describes it as "partial 16S ribosomal RNA". It matches the Rfam family "Bacterial small subunit ribosomal RNA", at positions 28 to 507 of the family's 1533-position model. The record is from RNAcentral.